GCUACUCAGGAAACUGCCAUGGUGGGGGAGGGGGGCUUUAAGGAACCCCUGGUUGGUUCUGCUGUGUGAUGUCAUUUCCUUUAGGUAAAGGACUACUCAGCUUCAAGAAACAAGAUCCCAGCUGCUUCCUCCUGGCUCACAAUAGGCUUGAGGACAGUGCUGCCAACGGCACAUGGUGGAAGACGAGAAGCUCAUUUUUAUUGUCACUGUGACCAGACAUCUAACAGAACUUAAGGGAAGAAGGGCUUCUUUUGGCUCAUGGUUUAAAGGGAUUCAUCCAUCACCAUGUAGAAAGGCAUGGUAGCUGCAACGGUCUUAACUGUAAACUUGCCAUGGUGGAGAAUUAACCCUGGAAGAGUCUUAAAAGGGGAUUGUCUAGUUCAGUUGAAUCUGCGGGCACGUCUGUGGAUGACAGCCUUAACUGUUAAUUGGUGAAGGAAGACCUAGCCCACCGUGGGCAGCACCAUUCCCUAUGCAAGCAGCUCUGGGUGAUCCAAUACAAGAGAAAGUCAGGAAAUUUCCAGAAAAAUUCCACAUGUCUGUCCUCAGCGAAAACAUGCUACCACAUGUCUCCUUCAGCAAAAAAUAUCCUCUCGUAGACAGUUUCCAGGAAAGCAUCACGUGGCACAUCUGAGUCUCCAAAGAAACCAGACAAGUCCACGUCAGGGGAGACAAUGAUGAAGUGAAGUUUCCAGAGACAAAGAGGGUAACUCAGCAGCUUCAUCCCUUCAUACUCUGGCGAGGAUUGAAUUGUCAAUUCAACGUGACCUGGGAGGAAGAGUCUCAAUGAGAGAUUAUCUACAGCAGGCUGGCCCGUGGGCAGGUCUAUGGGGAGCCACCUGACUGCUUUAAUUGAUUUGGGAAGGCACAGCCUGAAAACUGGCAGUACUAUUACUUGCUUGGGGUGCUGGGUUGUUAAGAGUGGAGAUAGCUAAGUAUCAUUCAUGUGUUCAUCUGCGUUGUUGACUGUGGCUGUGAUGUGACUAGCUCCUUUAAGCCCCUGCUGCCUUGAGUUCUCUGUCACAGUGGACUGUAAACCCGAGAUGUGUGAGUUAAAAUAGCCCCUUUCUUUUCUAAUGUGCUUGUUUUGUUUGGUAAUUUUUAUCGUGGCAACCUGAUAGUAGGUUUUUUUUUUUUUUUUUAUAUCCAGUGGGAACUUCCUCUUUGAAGCAAAAUUCCUAGGCACAGGACAAGUAGUCACAUUGCUCCAUGGAGAAAACCCAGGAUGCAAAAGGAGGUUGUCCAGUCUUGACAAAGCCAGGAUUCUCAUCAACGCAGACUGGGUCCAAAUGCUUUUGCUCACACCACUACACUGGGGUGGUUAUCUUGUAAUAAGAAUCCAAGUAAUGAAGAGACUUUCCCAAUGUCACACAAGAUGGUGUUGCUGACGCCAAACUUGACUGUUAUGGUUUAAAUGUGAGAUCUUCCCCACCCCUCAAGCUUGGGUGUUUGAAUUCUUGGUGUUCGGAUGCUGUUGCAGAUGGGGGAGAUGGGUCAUCAUCAGUGGUUUGGCCAUGUAUCACUUCAAGUGGAACUUUCCGCUUCCUGCUCAGUGGCAUGCAGCACACAGCUGCCUUAUUCCUUUCAGCUACAAUAAACUGUACCCCCUUCAAACAAA
Rattus norvegicus (Norway rat) is the source of this 1618-nucleotide non-coding RNA. The record is from RefSeq and is a predicted model, not a curated record. NCBI's taxonomy places the organism in Eukaryota, Metazoa, Chordata, Mammalia, Rodentia, Muridae.